UACUCCUACGGGAGGCAGCAGUGGGGAAUAUUGGACAAUGGGCGAAAGCCUGAUCCAGCAAUGCCGCGUGAGUGAUGAAGGCCUUAGGGUUGUAAAGCUCUUCUACCCGGGAUGAUAAUGACAGUACCGGGAGAAUAAGCCCCGGCUAACUCCGUGCCAGCAGCCGCGGUAAU
This 173-nucleotide ribosomal RNA is filed under the name uncultured bacterium. RNAcentral's name for it is "partial 16S ribosomal RNA". It matches the Rfam family "Bacterial small subunit ribosomal RNA", at positions 334 to 524 of the family's 1533-position model. The record is from RNAcentral.